Molecule: ribosomal RNA, 425 nt
Filed under: uncultured Hymenobacter sp.
Lineage: Bacteria; Pseudomonadati; Bacteroidota; Cytophagia; Cytophagales; Hymenobacteraceae
Description: bacterial SSU rRNA
Rfam family: Bacterial small subunit ribosomal RNA
Source: RNAcentral
GUAGGGAAUAUUGGGCAAUGGGCGAGAGCCUGACCCAGCCAUGCCGCGUGCAGGAAGAAGGCUUUCUGAGUCGUAAACUGCUUUUGACAGGGAAGAAUAAGCGGAACGUGUUCCGUGAUGACGGUACCUGCAGAAUAAGCACCGGCUAACUCCGUGCCAGCAGCCGCGGUAAUACGGAGGGUGCGAGCGUUGUCCGGAUUUAUUGGGUUUAAAGGGUGCGUAGGCGGCUCUCUAAGUCCGAGGUGAAAGCCCGUUGCUUAACAACGGAACUGCCUUGGAUACUGGGGAGCUUGAGUACAGACGAGGUUGGCGGAAUGGACCGAGUAGCGGUGAAAUGCAUAGAUACGGUCCAGAACCCCGAUUGCGAAGGCAGCUGACUAGGCUGUUACUGACGCUGAGGCACGACAGCGUGGGGAGCGAACAGG